RNAcentral lists this ribosomal RNA (161 nucleotides) under uncultured Proteiniclasticum sp. RNAcentral describes it as "partial 16S ribosomal RNA". It matches the Rfam family "Bacterial small subunit ribosomal RNA", at positions 354 to 532 of the family's 1533-position model. The record is from RNAcentral. Lineage: Bacteria; Bacillati; Bacillota; Clostridia; Eubacteriales; Clostridiaceae.
GGUGUGAAUAUUGCCACAAUGGGCGAAAGCCUGAUGCAGCAACGCCGCGUGAGUGAUGAAGGCCUUCGGGUCGUAAAGCUCUUUGAUCAGGGAUGAUAAUGACAGUACCUGAAAAACAAGCCACGGCUAACUACGUGCCAGCAGCCGCGGUAAAUAUAAAU